UUUCCUCCUAUCUAAAAAUGUAUUCACUCUUUCAGUCUUUGUUUUAAGGAAUUCUUAACUUGUGAAUCUCAAGACUAUAUUCCUGUCGUAUCCAGUUUAAAGAAACCAGAGAUUAGUGUCAGUCAUAAUGAGAAGGAUGUCAUCAUCUCCUGUGAGAUUCCUGGACCUGCUGGUAAUGACACCACUUGUAACCUGUAUGUUGGAGAUCAGAGUCAACAUCUCCAGAACAGAAAGAUCUGGAGGAAAAAAUCAUCCAGGUCCAAGACAUCAUUCUGUCAGUUCACAGUGACUGAAGAUGACCUGAUCAGACAUCUACAGUCAGUAGGGAGUCAGGAGGUGAGCUGUGACUACAGAGUGAGUUCAGGACCAAACUCUCUCUCUCCACGUAGUGACGGGUACAUUAUAACAAAUUUGAUAGCUAGUGCUACUUUGAUCCCCAAAACAACAUUGAGACCAACUACCAGUUCAACCACUUCUUUGACCCCCACAGCAACAACAUCAGGUUCAACCACUUAUUUGACCCCCACGGCAACAACAUCAGGUUCAACCACUUCUUUGACCCCCACGGCAACAACAUCAGGUUCAACCACUUCUUUGACCCCCACAGCAACAACAUCAGGUUCAACCACUUCUUUGACCCACACGGCAACAACAUCAGGUGUGUUGGCUACUGCGAUUUCUAGGCCAGCAUAAACAUGUACCCAGAGGUGUGCUCAAAGAGUCAGAUUUCUGACAACAAAACUGUGCCUAAUUAUGCUGGUCCUACGGUAAUUGAUGUCCUGGAAACUUACAUUGGACUUCACAAUGGUCCCCCAAAGAACAUUUCAUGGACUCAUUACUUUAAAAUCAAUACAGAGGUAGCUAGUGAUUUUUCACUCUCUUAUAAAAUGGUAUGAUUCUUAAAUACAUCAGCUCAGUAAACAUCCACAAUAAACAUCAAAUAAUAUCCAGAAAAAUCUAUGCGCCCCGUUCUGGAGAGGAAAGUGGUCUGCCACACUUGAACUUGCCCCUUUCUGCGUUUGUGAGAGAAGAGAAGGGCCAACAGAAGCCUGAAACCUUCGCAAGGUCAUGGGAUUCAUCCGGGGCCCCAGUUUCUUCUGGUGUCUUUUGUGGCGGUUUCAUGCAUUGAUGACUGCCAAUGUGACAGUGUGCCACCAAAUGUACAUAUACUGUCUUCGGAUUUGAAGCUGGUCUUGUGAAGUGCACACAGCAUAUCAAGGAGGUCUUGUUCAAAGUUGAAAGUUUAUCAAAUGCACCGAAUAAAACAGUGUCAUCCAGCACAAUGAAAUUUUUGUGACAUGACACACAACAUCUACAUAGUAAGAAUCAAGAAAUAUAUAAGGCAAAAAUAUAGCAACACCAAUAUAGUCAACAUGAACUUUUACGUUUUACGUUUCAACAACGGCUGUCAUUUUAUCAGACAAAAACAAUGUGAACUCCUAACACUUGACUAUUCUUAUGUAUUGAUGCUGCUUUCUAAAAAGAAAAGGUUCUCAAAUAAUACUUUAAUUUGAAACUCUGGUGGAAGUCCUAUACAGUUGUGCUCAAAAGUUUGCAUACCUAUGGAGAAUUGGUACUAUACAGCUCUGGAAAAAAUUAAAAGACCACUCCUAAUUUUUCUUAAGGGUAGGGCAAAAAAAGCACAUUUCCGCCUAAAAUGAUGUACCCAAAUCCAAAUGCUUGUAGCUCAUGACUUGAAUAUAGUAGAAACAUAUUUUGGUUCCAUUUGAAAGGAAACACUCUGUAGUUUGUAGGAAUUAUUAAUUAAUGCAGGAAAGUAUAACACAAUAGAUUUGGCAGGAGAUAAAACAAACCAAAAACAAAAUAAUCCUCAUCAUGUUUGAAUUGCAG
Molecule: long non-coding RNA, 1851 nt
Organism: Esox lucius (northern pike)
Lineage: Eukaryota; Metazoa; Chordata; Actinopteri; Esociformes; Esocidae
Source: Ensembl